AAUUAUUCGAGCUGAUAACCCUAAAGAUAAUUGGAUCACUUAUAAUUAUGUUCAACUCUGCGGUCCAUUUGGCAUAUGACGAAGCGCGUGAAUUCGAAUUAGAUGCCCUAAAACUGUCUACAAAUGAUGAUGAAGGUUUUGCUGCUAUUAAAACAAAUAAAAAAUUAGAAAUGGUAGAUAAAGGAAAAAGAAACUGCAAUAAACAUUUACGCUCUUGUGAUACAGAAGAUGAAUCGACGCCUAUACAAAAAAAAACUAAAAGUAGAAAGAAGAUAUUAG
Molecule: long non-coding RNA, 279 nt
Organism: Papilio machaon (common yellow swallowtail)
Lineage: Eukaryota; Metazoa; Arthropoda; Insecta; Lepidoptera; Papilionidae
Exons: 3
Source: RefSeq, a predicted model, not a curated record